CCGAGCCUCCACCCAGUCUGCCUCCAUCGGGCCGUGCAAAAAAUCCCGGACCUGUAACUUAUUCAACGGAAAUGGAUGGUUUCAGUGCAAGAAAUGCCGUCUGGAACGGUGCUAUAAAGUCGGAAUGACCAUGAAAAGUAAUUCGGGGGGAAAUUUGAAAUUUUCGGAAAAAAUUUUUUUUUUAAAGAUUUUUCGAAAAAAUUUUUUUUUUCAGAUUUCCAAUUCCAACGGGACCAUAUUCGAUCUAAAAUUGAAAUUAUAAAUAAUAAAUUGCCUGAGGUAAAUUUUCAGCCAAAUUUCACCCAAACCCAAAUCUUUUCCCAUUCAGAGCAUCGAAAAACUAGUGGGCCGCCCGUUUUUUGUGGUUCACUGUAAGCCGACACUAAUUGAAAUUCACACUCAGCAAAAUUUAAUCGAUUGCCAUGAUUUUGUGGAAAAGGGCCGAAGGAUACUGUUUGAGG
Molecule: small RNA, 461 nt
Filed under: Caenorhabditis elegans
Lineage: Eukaryota; Metazoa; Nematoda; Chromadorea; Rhabditida; Rhabditidae
Description: Unclassified non-coding RNA Y80D3A.21
Source: RNAcentral